Helianthus annuus (common sunflower) is the source of this 845-nucleotide long non-coding RNA. RefSeq lists it as uncharacterized. The transcript is spliced from 3 exons. The record is from RefSeq and is a predicted model, not a curated record. NCBI's taxonomy places the organism in Eukaryota, Viridiplantae, Streptophyta, Magnoliopsida, Asterales, Asteraceae.
GUUACGCCUUGGGUUAUACGCGGGGGUUAAGGAUUAGAGGUUUGUAGAAACCAAGAAAGAUAAAGUUUUUUGAAAGUGAAGAUUGUUCGGUCAGAAGACAUGUCAGGAACAACUGGACCAAAUUCACAAGUCAUAAUUCAAAAGGAAGGAAGUUCUCUUUCCCAAUUACAGUGUCCUAUUUUGAAAGCAACUAUAACACCCCAAAAUAGGAUAACAUGAAACUAAGUUCAAAUAAUUAAAAGAAUUAACUAAGUUAGUAAAAUGUUACAAAAGCUAGUUAAAGGGUGGUAAGUGUUUAAUGAAAUAAAUGAAAUUCUAUGGGGGUUAAACAUGUCAAACUGUUAAGUAAGGAUAUUAGAAGGAAGGAAACCCCAAAAUCACACAUCUAUGCGUGCCUGGGGUCGAACAAGCAGGGGGAAACAAGGGUGAAACCCUUGUUUACUAAAUUCAAUCAAUUGGAUAGGAGAAUUGAAGAUAAUCAACUGCAUAAACUCGAAAUUACACUCAUCUAAACUCGAUUAUUGAAGUGGCGUGAAAGAAGAAGGUUCCAACACUAGGAAAUUGGAAAGUUCACAAGAUCGAGGUAAAUCCUCAAUGUAGGUGACUUGGCAAAUUGGAGCGAGCACAUGCACACUUUUAGAUCAUCACGCGCUUCCGCUAUUAUGUAUUAAUGUUUUGGGUCAAUUGCUUGUUUUUGUAUGACAUUGUUAGUAGUUACACUUGUUAACACUUGGUAUGGUUUUUAGUCGUGUCUAGUCGAACGGGUCGUAAACUUGUUGUUUGAUGAUGGUUAAUACAGGGAUACACUCGUCUUACGGACGGGUCAUGCCCAAUUUUUGUUAAAA